RNAcentral lists this long non-coding RNA (252 nucleotides) under Sorghum bicolor (sorghum). RNAcentral's name for it is "long non-coding RNA (SBIC_LNC006758)". Lineage: Eukaryota; Viridiplantae; Streptophyta; Magnoliopsida; Poales; Poaceae. The record is from RNAcentral.
AUCAUCCUUUGUGUUAACUUUGAUCCUAUCUAGCUACUGGUUGUUGUUUCAUUUCUGUCUUUAGUUGUGCAAGUAUCAUAAUCUGAUCCCUGUUUUUAGUUCUAUAUAUAUAUAAAAAAAAGUGUGUCAACAAAGAAAGAAAAGAAAGUACAAAAAAAAGUGAAGUGAAAAAAAUUUGAGAAAGGUUCAGAGAGAAAGUCUGAAAGAUUAGUUGGUUUAUGUGCAUAAGUGCUGAAAGUUUCAUAUCAAGUU